AGCUCGAGCAACUGAUUUGAGCUAGUGGAGAAGGUCAAGUAUUAAGGCUUUAAGGAAAGCGGAGGCUAGGAGAACUGAAGGCUAGCCCAGAUUUGACAUUCGAGAGGCGACGCGAGGAGUAGUGCGGAG
This is a long non-coding RNA of Morus notabilis, 129 nucleotides long. RefSeq lists it as uncharacterized. Lineage: Eukaryota; Viridiplantae; Streptophyta; Magnoliopsida; Rosales; Moraceae. The transcript is spliced from 3 exons. The record is from RefSeq and is a predicted model, not a curated record.